GUCCCGCUAUUCAAGUCCCAUUUUCCUUUUUGGGUUGUCCCACCGAUAAUGUCCCGUUUCCUAAAAAGGAAAUAAUAAGGGGAUGCUUAACUCACUAAUUGUUCAACUAAUAAACCCUUAAUUAACAGCCCAAUCAAAAACACAUUACAAUUUUACGCACAAGAAGCAUUCAACCCUAGCCCCGCCGCACCCACCCACUCACUGUCACGCCGACCCGCCGCCCCGCCGUGCCGGACCGAACCACCGCCCAGCGCC
RNAcentral lists this long non-coding RNA (255 nucleotides) under Salvia miltiorrhiza (redroot sage). RNAcentral describes it as "long non-coding RNA (SMIL_LNC001735)". Lineage: Eukaryota; Viridiplantae; Streptophyta; Magnoliopsida; Lamiales; Lamiaceae. The record is from RNAcentral.